Camponotus floridanus (Florida carpenter ant) is the source of this 203-nucleotide long non-coding RNA. RefSeq lists it as uncharacterized. The transcript has 3 exons. NCBI's taxonomy places the organism in Eukaryota, Metazoa, Arthropoda, Insecta, Hymenoptera, Formicidae. The record is from RefSeq and is a predicted model, not a curated record.
AAAUAAUUCAAUAAUACAAGAUAAAGAUAUAGCUUAUUCUUCUAUUAUCAGGAAACAUGCUACGAAUAAUGUAAUAAUCAAUUAUAUAUUAACAAAUUUAAAACAAAUAAUCUCAAGAAAAUACAAUAUGGAUGAUGCAUUAAAUGAUAUAAUUGACAAUGUGUAUUCUAAUGAACAACUUGACGAAAUAAGUAAAUUUGUAA